GUGUGGAAAAGGCCGCCCAGCAAAUACCAACAUCAACUGCCCCACAACCAGAGAAAGGUUUCAGGAGAGGCAGAUCUCUGACCUAAUCCUCACCCUCUGACAGCCAGCAGGUGCUGGCUUCCAGAAACAGAAUACCAGAAGAAGGGAAAAUUUUACUGCUCUGCAGAAAAGGAUCGGUCAUUAGGCUUGUUUCAGAUCCUAUGCUCCUGACUUUGUUUCUUAAGCUUCUUCUUGCACUUACUCAGCUAAGUGCAAGGAGCCUGUGAAGCAGUUUGCUUGAAAUAAGUUGUAUGAGCAAUUAUCAUAGUUGUUGAAGAGCAAAAGUAAAUAAAGUAUGAAAAGUGACAUUUGUGCGUUGUGCUAAUGUCUAUUUUUUUGCAUAUAUUAAGAAUCUUUGACAUUUUAGAUACAAACUGAUGGAUUUGUUUAUCAAGUCUCGUGUGGACUGAAUAUUUCAUUAAUACCUUGAUUGGGCUUUAAUUAGAUGCUGCAUUAGUCACCUGGUUACAGUUUAUUUAGUCGGACACAUAUCCAUUUAGCAUACGAACUACAACAUAUUCUAGCUUACAAUUUGUGUUGCAUAGCAACCGCAGAAUGAUUUUUUCAUGGUCUUGGAACUAAAAGUUGACACAGGUAACAACGGGCUGAAUGACACUGAUUCAUUGUAAAGAGCCACAUCUAAAAGCACAGAGGCAGAAUAGGGUUGUGUCGUUUUUUUUCAAGGAUUGCGCUUGAGCUGCGAGCUGAUGUAAAACACUCCAGUUCCAUCUGCCGUUGUCUACAUUGCUUUAACCCUGCUAAAUGUAACAUCAUGAGUUUUCAGAGAUCUUAUAACUUCUGUAAGUGUUCCUCUCCCUUCAGAUACUUCAGUCUAUAUGGAUAAAGAGAAGAAUUGUUUCAGAAGUAUGAAAAUACCGUUGUUAUUAAUUUUAUGAAAACUUUUUUGGUUUCAGUGUGACAGAGAGGCAUCAUCAAGGUAUGUGAUUAAUCUGAUGUGUGAUUAUCAGGUGGAACAUCUAUACAGUACAAACCAGGAAUACAUUGUGUAAAUAUCAGACUAGACGUGAUUUGC
RNAcentral lists this long non-coding RNA (1072 nucleotides) under Numida meleagris (helmeted guineafowl). RNAcentral describes it as "lncRNA (ENSNMEG00000007898.1)". Lineage: Eukaryota; Metazoa; Chordata; Aves; Galliformes; Numididae. The record is from RNAcentral.